CUCUUCCUGUGUGGAAGCUGGGAUUCCAAUGGCAGGCAGGAAAUCUUGUAGUAGGUGAUCGUGGCCUUCCUUGGGAUCCCUGUUUCCCCCUUUUAUUCCCUUUUCACCCAGUAAAACCCUGCUUUGCUCACUCUUUAAAGCAUCUGUGAGCGUAAAUUUUUGUGGCCAUGGGAUGGACAAGAACCACAUGUUUACCUGAAGUCCUGUGACAUUUUGGUGUGCAGCAUGGGAGCUCCAAAAGUGAGUCAAGUGAACUUAUUUUGAAUGGUUUAUGGCCUUUAAUAAUUACAUAAGUUAUAUACUCCUGUGAUCAAAAUUUGGAGCAUGUUUGUUUCUCUCUGCCUGGUUCCUCCAGAAUUUAGAACCUAUCUACAUUCUUUCAGAUGCCAGAGGAUGCUAUAGAAAAAUGCGUGCCCUCUUGUAAUACUUUGUUCAAGUUCUGAUCAGAAGGAUGAAUGAUGGAGCCCAAGAAGCCAGAGUCUCAUUGUGUUGCUCAGGCUGGAAUCCAGUGGCAUGAUCUCGGCUCAGUGCAACCUCCGCCUCCUGGGUUCAAGCAGUUCUCCUAGAUCAGCAUCAGCGUCCCGAGUAGCUGGGAUUACAGGCACCCGCCACCAUGCCUGGCUAAUGUUGGUCAGGCUGGCUCGAACUCCUGACCUCAAGAGAUCCACCUGCUUUGGCCUCCCAAAGUGCUCGGAUUACAGGCAUGAGCUGCCACACCCAGCCUCCAAAUACUUUUUUUUUAAAUCAAAAUAAUGAUUUCAAUGACUGAGAUCUGUUAUGUAUUUCAACAUAAUCAUGUUUCAUAAAGAUUUAGUCUUCUGAAA
RNAcentral lists this long non-coding RNA (824 nucleotides) under Homo sapiens (human). Its description in RNAcentral is "novel transcript". The record is from RNAcentral. Lineage: Eukaryota; Metazoa; Chordata; Mammalia; Primates; Hominidae.